CAUAUACCAUGAAUUUUUUGGUUAAAGUACCUUUUAGGUGGUCAAAUGACUAGGAUUAGAUACCCUAUUAGUCCACUCUUAAUUAACCUGGGUAGUAGUAUCGAAACCUAAAGAAUUUGGCGGUUUCUAAACCUACUAGAGGAACCUGCCCCAUAAACGACAAUCCACGAAAAAAUUCACCCGGGCUAGUUAUGCAGCUUAUAUACCGUCGUUUAGAGGACUAAAUAAAUAGAUCCUCUUAAAAGCUUAGGCUAAUAAAUCAGAUCAAGGUGUAGCUCAUGCCCGGGAGAGGGUGGGUUACAAUGAAAAUUUAUACGGAGCUUUUAUUUUAUGAUAGAAAAGAAGGUGGAUUUAGAAGUAAGACUUAAUAUACUGAAAAAGGCUCUCAGAAAUGUACACAUCGCCCGUCGCUCUCUUGUCCGAAGAGAUAAGUCGUAACAAAGUAGGUGGACCGGAAGGUCUAUCUCGAAAGA
RNAcentral lists this ribosomal RNA (473 nucleotides) under Artemia parthenogenetic lineage. RNAcentral's name for it is "Artemia parthenogenetica partial 12S ribosomal RNA". Lineage: Eukaryota; Metazoa; Arthropoda; Branchiopoda; Anostraca; Artemiidae. The record is from RNAcentral.